This 63-nucleotide ribosomal RNA is filed under the name Schumannella luteola. RNAcentral describes it as "partial 23S ribosomal RNA". Lineage: Bacteria; Bacillati; Actinomycetota; Actinomycetes; Micrococcales; Microbacteriaceae. The record is from RNAcentral.
UGUAGUCAAGUUUCUAAGAGCAGACGGUGGAUGCCUUGGCAUCUGGAGCCGAAGAAGGACGUA